AUGGGGUGCAGCAGGCGCGAAAACUUUACAAUGCGGGAAACCGCGAUAAGGGGACACUGAGUGCCAGCAUAUUAUGUUGGCUGUCCACAUGUAUAAAAACCAUGUGUUAGCAAGGGCCGGGCAAGACCGGUGCCAGCCGCCGCGGUAACACCGGCGGCCCGAGUGGUGAUCACUUUUAUUGGGUCUAAAGGGUCCGUAGCCGGUUUGAUCAGUCUUCUGGGAAAUCUGACAGCUCAACUGUUAGGCUUCCAGGGGAUACUGUCAAACUUGGGACCGGGAGAGGUAAGAGGUACUACAGGGGUAGGAGUGAAAUCUUGUAAUCCCUGUGGGACCACCAGUGGCGAAGGCGUCUUACCAGAACGGGUCCGACGGUGAGGGACGAAAGCUGGGGGCACGAACCGGAUUACAUACCCGGGUAGUCCCAGCCGUAAACGAUGCUCGCUAGGUGUCAGGGACGGUGCGACCGUUUCUGGUGCCGCAGGGAAGCCGUGAAGCGAGCCACCUGGGAAGUACGGCCGCAAGGCUGAAACUUAAAGGAAUUGGCGGGGGAGCACUACAACGGGUGGAGCCUGCGGUUUAAUUGGACUCAACGCCGGAAAACUCACCGGGGGCGACAGCAAUAUGUAGGUCAGGCUAAAGACCUUACCCGAAUCGCUGAGAGGAGGUGCAUGGCC
Molecule: ribosomal RNA, 674 nt
Filed under: uncultured Methanosarcinales archaeon
Lineage: Archaea; Methanobacteriati; Methanobacteriota; Methanomicrobia; Methanosarcinales
Description: bacterial SSU rRNA
Rfam family: Archaeal small subunit ribosomal RNA
Source: RNAcentral